This 685-nucleotide ribosomal RNA is filed under the name uncultured Micromonospora sp. Its description in RNAcentral is "bacterial SSU rRNA". It matches the Rfam family "Bacterial small subunit ribosomal RNA", at positions 64 to 766 of the family's 1533-position model. The record is from RNAcentral. Lineage: Bacteria; Bacillati; Actinomycetota; Actinomycetes; Micromonosporales; Micromonosporaceae.
GAGCGGAAGGCCCUUCGGGGUACUCGAGCGGCGAACGGGUGAGUAACACGUGAGCAACCUGCCCUAGGCUUUGGGAUAACCCCGGGAAACCGGGGCUAAUACCGAAUAUGACCUCUGACCGCAUGGUUGGUGGUGGAAAGUUUUUCGGCCUGGGAUGGGCUCGCGGCCUAUCAGCUUGUUGGUGGGGUGAUGGCCUACCAAGGCGACGACGGGUAGCCGGCCUGAGAGGGCGACCGGCCACACUGGGACUGAGACACGGCCCAGACUCCUACGGGAGGCAGCAGUGGGGAAUAUUGCACAAUGGGCGGAAGCCUGAUGCAGCGACGCCGCGUGAGGGAUGACGGCCUUCGGGUUGUAAACCUCUUUCAGCAGGGACGAAGCGAAAGUGACGGUACCUGCAGAAGAAGCGCCGGCCAACUACGUGCCAGCAGCCGCGGUAAGACGUAGGGCGCGAGCGUUGUCCGGAUUUAUUGGGCGUAAAGAGCUCGUAGGCGGCUUGUCGCGUCGACUGUGAAAACCCGCAGCUCAACUGCGGGCCUGCAGUCGAUACGGGCAGGCUAGAGUUCGGUAGGGGAGACUGGAAUUCCUGGUGUAGCGGUGAAAUGCGCAGAUAUCACGAGGAACACCGGUGGCGAAAGGCGAGUCUCUGGGGCCGAUACUGACGCUGAGGAGCGAAAGCGUGGGG